UACGGAGGAGGCAAGCGUUAUCCGGAAUUAUUGGGCGUAAAGCGUCCGCAGGUGGCACUUCAAGUCUGUCGUCAAAGACUGGGGCUUAACCCCAGAAAGGCAGUGGAAACUGAAGUGCUAGAGUGCAGUAGGGGUAGAGGGAAUUCCCGGUGUAGCGGUGAAAUGCGUAGAGAUCGGGAAGAACAUCGGUGGCGAAAGCGCUCUGCUGGACUGCAACUGACGCUCAGGGACGAAAGCUAGGGGAGCGAAUGGG
RNAcentral lists this ribosomal RNA (253 nucleotides) under uncultured bacterium. RNAcentral's name for it is "partial 16S ribosomal RNA". It matches the Rfam family "Bacterial small subunit ribosomal RNA", at positions 524 to 776 of the family's 1533-position model. The record is from RNAcentral.